This 1147-nucleotide long non-coding RNA is filed under the name Calidris pugnax (ruff). RNAcentral's name for it is "lncRNA (ENSCPUG00000012764.1)". Lineage: Eukaryota; Metazoa; Chordata; Aves; Charadriiformes; Scolopacidae. The record is from RNAcentral.
CUUUGAUACUAUGCUCUAAGUGACCUACAUUAAAAAAAAUACUGGAAUUUAUUGAAUUUGGAUGUAGAGCUCCUCUUAUAAAUAUUAUACUGUUUGUCCACUGACUACCAUUGACAAAAUUUAGUAAUCCAUUCUGUUUAUAAACUUCUUUCAGGUAAAUAAGACUUUGUGUAAAACAUCAGCUGUUGAAAUGGAUGAAGACCUUAACAAUUCUUAAUUAUGGAAGAUGUAUUUGUCAUUGAUUAAUACAGUUCUCUCAAAUUCUCUUCUGUGGACACUGCUGCUAAGAAGCAUCUGGCAUGGUAUCUCUGAAAGAAGUAUUUGCAGGCAUAUUUCAGUUAUUGCUAAAAGCUGGUUACAGAAAAAUAGAAAACAUAAAGAAGAUUUACUUUAUUUUGGACAAAGGAAACUGUAAAGCAACCGCAAAGCAAUUGUUAACAAAAAGUCCUUUUAUGCCACCAUUGUAACUUUGUUCAAAAUUACAUUUUGUUUGAUACUUUGAAAAAAAAAAGGACAAAAUACCUUCAUGAAGGGUAAGUGGUUCUGCAUUUCAAACUUGCUGGUCUAUGUACCUUUAAGAUCAGUCAAGCCCGCAUGGAGUUGUGUUACAUAUGGGUCAGGCUUAUUAUGUUAUUAUUUGAGUUUAUCGUCAAGUAAGUGAGACAGGGAUUUAUUCAUGGACCACCCUGUUUAAGCCAUUUCUUGUCUUAAAGAAACCAAACCCAAGUAUUCCCACAAGUAUUGAAUACACUCUGCUGCUUUGACUUCAGAAAAAGACCACCUCUGUUAAGCAGUGAUUUAUUUUUUUUGUUGGUCUCUUGGGUGACCACUGAUGGCAGAUUUUCCUGUGUUUCCUAUGGUAGAAGCAAUAUGUUCUGAAAUAUUUUGGUUAUGUUUAAAGUAUAUGUAUGAAAAUGUGAUAUAUGGCAAAGUUAUGUAUUGCAAAAAAUAAUAUUGAUAUGCAUAUUGGAUAUAUCAAGAGGAAAUGUGGAAGAUAUUUUCAUAAGCAUAUGUUCUACUUUAUUUAAAAGAUGAAUAUUGGAGGGGAUGGGAACACUUAUGAAAACGUAUAGAAGCCUUUUAAAGUGUGUUGAAGCAGUUUUUCUGAUAAAUGUUUGGAAAAUAUCCAAAAAUGUUAUGGUACAUA